Molecule: ribosomal RNA, 253 nt
Filed under: uncultured bacterium
Lineage: Bacteria
Description: partial 16S ribosomal RNA
Rfam family: Bacterial small subunit ribosomal RNA
Source: RNAcentral
UACGUAGGGUGCGAGCGUUAAUCGGAAUUACUGGGCGUAAAGCGUGCGCAGGCGGCUUUGCAAGACAGAUGUGAAAUCCCCGGGCUCAACCUGGGAACUGCAUUUGUGACUGCAAAGCUGGAGUGCGGCAGAGGGGGAUGGAAUUCCGCGUGUAGCAGUGAAAUGCGUAGAUAUGCGGAGGAACACCGAUGGCGAAGGCAAUCCCCUGGGCCUGUACUGACGCUCAUGCACGAAAGCGUGGGGAGCAAACAGG